Molecule: non-coding RNA, 72 nt
Organism: Phthorimaea operculella (potato tuberworm)
Lineage: Eukaryota; Metazoa; Arthropoda; Insecta; Lepidoptera; Gelechiidae
Source: the annotation of a GenBank genome assembly
GCAUCGAUAGCUCAGUGGCAGAGCGGUGGGACGGUGACCUAUGCAGCCUGGUUUCGGGCCCAGGUCGAUACU